UAAGGAAUAUUGGACAAUGGACGCAAGUCUGAUCCAGCCAUGCCGCGUGAAGGAUGAAUGCCCUCUGGGUUGUAAACUUCUUUUAUAGGGGAAGAAAGAUACUUUUUUUAAGGUAGUUGACGGUACCCUAUGAAUAAGCACCGGCUAACUCCGUGCCAGCAGCCGCGGUAAUACGGAGGGUGCAAGCGUUAUCCGGAUUUACUGGGUUUAAAGGGUGCGUAGGCGGGCAUGUAAGUCAGUGGUGAAAUACCGGAGCUUAACUUCGGAACUGCCAUUGAUACUAUAUGUCUUGAAUAUUGUGGAGGUAAGCGGAACAUGUCAUGUAGCGGUGAAAUGCUUAGAUAUGACAUAGAACACCAAUUGCGAAGGCAGCUUACUACAUAUAAAUUGACGCUGAGGCACGAAAGCGUGGGGAUCAAACA
Molecule: ribosomal RNA, 422 nt
Filed under: uncultured bacterium
Lineage: Bacteria
Description: bacterial SSU rRNA
Rfam family: Bacterial small subunit ribosomal RNA
Source: RNAcentral